RNAcentral lists this ribosomal RNA (652 nucleotides) under uncultured bacterium. Its description in RNAcentral is "bacterial SSU rRNA". It matches the Rfam family "Bacterial small subunit ribosomal RNA", at positions 855 to 1510 of the family's 1533-position model. The record is from RNAcentral.
ACAGAUUAAGUGUGCCGCCUGGGGAGUACGGUCGCAAGAUUAAAACUCAAAGGAAUAGACGGGGACCCGCACAAGCGGUGGAGCAUGUGGUUUAAUUCGAAGAUACGCGAAAAACCUUACCUGGCCUUGAUAUCCUUCAAAUCCUGUAGAGAUACGGGAGUGCUAGCUUGCUAGAAUGAAGUGACAGGUGCUGCACGGCUGUCGUCAGCUCGUGUCGUGAGAUGUUGGGUUAAGUCCCGCAACGAGCGCAACCCUCGUGUUUAGUUGCUAACAGUUCGGCUGAGCACUCUAAACAGACUGCCUUCGUAAGGAGGAGGAAGGUGAGGACGACGUCAAGUCAUCAUGGCCCUUAUGGCCAGGGCUACACACGUGCUACAAUGGGUAGGACAAUGAGACGCAAUACCGCGAGGUGGAGCAAAUCUAUAAACCUACUCUCAGUUCGGAUUGUUCUCUGCAACUCGAGAACAUGAAGCUGGAAUCGCUAGUAAUCGUAGAUCAGCAUUGCUACGGUGAAUACGUUCCCGGGUCUUGUACUCACCGCCCGUCACACCAUGGGAGUUGAAUUCACCCGAAGCGGGGAAGCUAAACUGGCUACCCUCCACGGUGGGUUCGGCGACUGGGGUGAAGUCGUAACAAGGUAACCAAGGGCGAA